This 619-nucleotide ribosomal RNA is filed under the name uncultured soil bacterium. RNAcentral's name for it is "bacterial SSU rRNA". It matches the Rfam family "Bacterial small subunit ribosomal RNA", at positions 267 to 897 of the family's 1533-position model. The record is from RNAcentral.
ACCAAGGCGACGACGGGUAGCCGGCCUGAGAGGGCGACCGGCCACACUGGGACUGAGACACGGCCCAGACUCCUACGGGAGGCAGCAGUGGGGAAUAUUGCGCAAUGGGCGAAAGCCUGACGCAGCGACGCCGCGUGGGGGAUGAAGGCCUUCGGGUUGUAAACCCCUUUCAGCAGGGACGAAGCGAGAGUGACGGUACCUGCAGAAGAAGCGCCGGCUAACUACGUGCCAGCAGCCGCGGUAACACGUAGGGCGCAAGCGUUGUCCGGAAUUAUUGGGCGUAAAGAGCUCGUAGGCGGUCUGUUACGUCUGCUGUGAAAACCCGGGGCUUAACCCCUGGCUUGCAGUGGAUACGGGCAGACUAGAGGUAGGUAGGGGAGAAUGGAAUUCCCGGUGUAGCGGUGAAAUGCGCAGAUAUCGGGAGGAACACCGGUGGCGAAGGCGGUUCUCUGGGCCUUACCUGACGCUGAGGAGCGGAAGCGUGGGGAGCGAACAGGAUUAGAUACCCUGGUAGUCCACGCUGUAAACGUUGGGCGCUAGGUGUGGGGUCCUUCCACGGAUUCCGUGCCGCAGCUAACGCAUUAAGCGCCCCGCCUGGGGAGUACGGCCGCAAGGCUAA